This 28-nucleotide non-coding RNA is filed under the name Bombyx mori (domestic silkworm). The record is from RNAcentral. Lineage: Eukaryota; Metazoa; Arthropoda; Insecta; Lepidoptera; Bombycidae.
UGAUUGACUUGCUUAAACUGGUAUUUUC